GUACACUCCUACGGGAGGCAGCAGUGGGGAAUUUUGGACAAUGGGCGAAAGCCUGAUCCAGCAAUGCCGCGUGAGUGAAGAAGGCCUUCGGGUUGUAAAGCUCUUUUGUCAGGGAAGAAACGGUGAAAGCUAAUAUCUUUUGCUAAUGACGGUACCUGAAGAAUAAGCACCGGCUAACUACGUGCCAGCAGCCGCGGUAAUACGUAGGGUGCAAGCGUUAAUCGGAAUUACUGGGCGUAAAGCGUGCGCAGGCGGUUUUGUAAGUCUGAUGUGAAAUCCCCGGGCUCAACCUGGGAAUUGCAUUGGAGACUGCAAGGCUAGAAUCUGGCAGAGGGGGGUAGAAUUCCACGUGUAGCAGUGAAAUGCGUAGAUAUGUGGAGGAACACCGAUGGCGAAGGCAGCCCCCUGGGUCAAGAUUGACGCUCAUGCACGAAAGCGUGGGGAGCAAACAGGAUUAGAAACCCGGGUAGUCCCA
This 475-nucleotide ribosomal RNA is filed under the name uncultured organism. RNAcentral's name for it is "partial 16S ribosomal RNA". It matches the Rfam family "Bacterial small subunit ribosomal RNA", at positions 331 to 797 of the family's 1533-position model. The record is from RNAcentral.